UAGGGAAUCUUCCGCAAUGGACGCAAGUCUGACGGAGCAACGCCGCGUGAGUGAUGAAGGUUUUCGGAUCGUAAAGCUCUGUUGCCAGGGAAGAAUUCCUCGGAGAGUAACUGCUCCGGGGGUGACGGUACCUGAGAAGAAAGCCCCGGCUAACUACGUGCCAGCAGCCGCGGUAAUACGUAGGGGGCAAGCGUUGUCCGGAAUUAUUGGGCGUAAAGCGCGCGCAGGCGGUACUUUAAGUCUGGUGUUUAAGCCCGAGGCUCAACCUCGGUUCGCACUGGAAACUGGAGUACUUGAGUGCAGGAGAGGAAAGCGGAAUUCCACGUGUAGCGGUGAAAUGCGUAGAGAUGUGGAGGAACACCAGUGGCGAAGGCGGCUUUCUGGACUGUAACUGACGCUGAGGCGCGAAAGCGUGGGGAGCAAACAGGAUUAGAUACCCGCGUAGUCC
This 448-nucleotide ribosomal RNA is filed under the name uncultured bacterium. RNAcentral describes it as "bacterial SSU rRNA". It matches the Rfam family "Bacterial small subunit ribosomal RNA", at positions 355 to 796 of the family's 1533-position model. The record is from RNAcentral.